GAGACCCACGCCAACAGUUGCUAGCUCGUCCUCCGGGAUGGAGGGGACACUGUUGGGACCGCCUCUGCUAAAGAGGAGGAAGGAAUGGGCAACGGUAGGUCAGCAUGCCCCGAAUUAUCUGGGCUACACGCGGGCUACAAUGGGUGGGACAAUGGGUAUCGACACCGAGAGGUGAAGGCAAUCUCCUAAACCCAUCCUUAGUUCGGAUUGUGGGCUGCAACUCGCCCACAUGAAGCUGGAAUCCGUAGUAAUCGUGUUUCAAAAUAGCACGGUGAAUAU
RNAcentral lists this ribosomal RNA (279 nucleotides) under uncultured archaeon. RNAcentral describes it as "partial 16S rRNA". It matches the Rfam family "Archaeal small subunit ribosomal RNA", at positions 1047 to 1325 of the family's 1478-position model. The record is from RNAcentral.